UGGGGAAUAUUGGACAAUGGGGGCAACCCUGAUCCAGCCAUGCCGCGUGUGUGAAGAAGGCCCUCGGGUUGUAAAGCACUUUCAGCGAGGAAGAACGCCUAGCGGUUAAUACCCGCUAGGAAAGACAUCACUCGCAGAAGAAGCACCGGCUAACUCCGUGCCAGCAGCCGCGGUAAUACGGAGGGUGCAAGCGUUAAUCGGAAUUACUGGGCGUAAAGCGCGCGUAGGUGGCUUGAUAAGCCGGUUGUGAAAGCCCCGGGCUCAACCUGGGAACGGCAUCCGGAACUGUCAAGCUAGAGUGCAGGAGAGGAAGGUAGAAUUCCCGGUGUAGCGGUGAAAUGCGUAGAGAUCGGGAGGAAUACCAGUGGCGAAGGCGGCCUUCUGGACUGACACUGACACUGAGGUGCGAAAGCGUGGGUAGCAAACAGGAUUAGAUACCCCCGUAGUCCCUGAGCGGGCUGGCAAGGCGCAU
RNAcentral lists this ribosomal RNA (472 nucleotides) under uncultured bacterium. RNAcentral's name for it is "bacterial SSU rRNA". It matches the Rfam family "Bacterial small subunit ribosomal RNA", at positions 355 to 825 of the family's 1533-position model. The record is from RNAcentral.